RNAcentral lists this ribosomal RNA (449 nucleotides) under uncultured bacterium. RNAcentral describes it as "partial 16S ribosomal RNA". It matches the Rfam family "Bacterial small subunit ribosomal RNA", at positions 29 to 523 of the family's 1533-position model. The record is from RNAcentral.
AACGAACGCUGGCGGCAGGCCUAACACAUGCAAGUCGAGCGAGGUAGCAAUACCUAGCGGCGGACGGGUGAGUAACGCGUGGGAACGUGCCCUUUGCUACGGAAUAGCCCUGGGAAACUGGGAGUAAUACCGUAUGUGCCCUUUGGGGGAAAGAUUUAUCGGCAAAGGAUCAGCCCGCGUUGGAUUAGGUAGUUGGUGGGGUAAUGGCCUACCAAGCCGACGAUCCAUAGCUGGUUUGAGAGGAUGAUCAGCCACACUGGGACUGAGACACGGCCCAGACUCCUACGGGAGGCAGCAGUGGGGAAUCUUAGACAAUGGGCGCAAGCCUGAUCUAGCCAUGCCGCGUGAGCGAUGAAGGCCUUAGGGUUGUAAAGCUCUUUCGUGGGGGAAGAUAAUGACUGCACCCCAAGAAGAAGCCCCGGCUAACUCCGUGCCAGCCGCCGCGGUAA